AAUCAACGCUGGCGGCGUGCCUCAGACAUGCAAGUCGAACGCGAAAGGCUCCUUCGGGGGCCGAGUAGAGUGGCGCACGGGUGAGUAACACGUAGGUAAUUUGCCUUUGGGUGGGGAAUAACUCAGGGAAACUUGAGCUAAUACCGCAUAAUGCAGCGGCUCGACAUCGAGACAGUUGUUAAAGCGGGGGAUCGCAAGACCUCGCGCCUGAAGAGAAGCCUGCGGCAGAUUAGCUAGUUGGUAGGGUAAUGGCCUACCAAGGCGACGAUCUGUAACCGGCCUGAGAGGGCGGUCGGUCACACUGACACUGACAUACGGGUCAGACUCCUACGGGAGGCAGCAGUCGGGUAAUUUUGGGCAAUGGGCGCAAGCCUGACCCAGCAACGCCGCGUGAAGGAUGAAA
RNAcentral lists this ribosomal RNA (403 nucleotides) under uncultured bacterium. RNAcentral's name for it is "bacterial SSU rRNA". It matches the Rfam family "Bacterial small subunit ribosomal RNA", at positions 32 to 413 of the family's 1533-position model. The record is from RNAcentral.